This 468-nucleotide ribosomal RNA is filed under the name uncultured bacterium. Its description in RNAcentral is "partial 16S ribosomal RNA". It matches the Rfam family "Bacterial small subunit ribosomal RNA", at positions 28 to 507 of the family's 1533-position model. The record is from RNAcentral.
GACGAACGCUGGCGGCGUGCUUAACACAUGCAAGUCGAACGGAAAGGCCCUGCUUUUGUGGGGUGCUCGAGUGGCGAACGGGUGAGUAACACGUGAGUAACCUGCCCUUGACUUUGGGAUAACUUCAGGAAACUGGGGCUAAUACCGGAUAGGAGCUCCUGCUGCAUGGUGGGGGUUGGAAAGUUUCGGCGGUUGGGGAUGGACUCGCGGCUUAUCAGCUUGUUGGUGGGGUAGUGGCUUACCCAGGCUUUGACGGGUAGCCGGCCUGAGAGGGUGACCGGCCACAUUGGGACUGAGAUAGGGACCAGAAUGCUACGGGGGGCAGCGGUGGGGAAUAUUGCACAAUGGGCGGAAGCGUGAUGAAGAAACGUCGGGUGCGGGAUGACGGCUUUCGGGUUGUAAACAGCAUUAGCCUGUGACGAAGCGUGAGUGACGGUAAUGGGUAAAGAAGCACCGGCUAACUACGUG